RNAcentral lists this long non-coding RNA (2954 nucleotides) under Sorghum bicolor (sorghum). RNAcentral describes it as "long non-coding RNA (SBIC_LNC001845)". Lineage: Eukaryota; Viridiplantae; Streptophyta; Magnoliopsida; Poales; Poaceae. The record is from RNAcentral.
GUGCUACUAUUCAUAUUUUGUAAAUUUUUUUGGAAGUAAACAAGGCCUAAGACAGUCUAAAGAGGAUAAGGACAAGGCAAACCAUUGAGCUCGGGUCAGCGACAGCGACAAAGCUAUGACUAUGAGCAAAGUUGGUGGAAGAUGCGACGAGAGGACACGAUGAAGAGGAGGACGGGGACGGACGGACGGAGUGAAAUUUUCUAUGAGAACAUUAGUAGGGCCGGGUCUAGAUCUAUUUUUUUUUAUUUUGAUAUUGUAUCGUUUGUAUCUAGUUAUUAUUAUUAAUAUAAGCUAACUAGGUUUAAAAGAUUAGUCUCGUAAAUUAUAGAUAAACUGAAUAAUUAGUUUUUUAUCUAUAUAUUGAAUACUCUAUGCAUGUGAUUUUAUAUAAUGGAAAAUCUUAAUUUUUUUUGGAUUUUUUGACCUAUGACACACGAUGUGUGCGAGAGUUGGACGGAGAUGGGAUGAUGUGAACAGCAGAACGAACCGGACGUCCGAGUCUCGGAGAUGAUGAUAAUACAAGACAAAUUUGAUUCUGUGUCUUUUCUUUUCCCAACAACAUGAGCGUGAUCGCUUACCAGAACGAUAUAAAAAUUUUCAAAAUUCCCUCGCAUGGAGCAUUAAAUAUAAACGAUAUAAAAAUAAAUUGCACAGUUUAACUGUAAUUUGUGAGAUGAAUAUUUUGAGCUUAGUUACUCCAUAAUUGAACAAUGUUUGUGAAAUAAAAAUGAAAGUGCUACAGUAGCCAAAAUCUAAAAAUUUUGCGAACUAAACAAGGCUUUUGUUGGAGUUCCUCCCCGAAAACUUUUUGACGUGCUGUUGAAAGCUUAGGCGGAAGGCGGUAACAGUGCUCUCGAGGGAGCAAGUCAAUCAUCGCUGAAAUAUAAGAUAUAUACUCUUAUUAAGAGCGCUAAGAGCAUCUCCAAGAGCUUGGCUAAAAUUAGUAGUUAAAUUCUAAUGUUUAGCCAUUUUGUAAAAUAGAUAACUUGUUAAAAAAGACCAGGUUCACAACAGCCUUGCUAUCAGAUAGCUAGUGUCAGUGGUUGGCGCCAACAAAAAUCAAGGGAUAACAAACUUUCUAUUUUACAAAACCAAAUAGCACAUCUGUUGGAGCCUAUUUUUCUACAAUAAAAGUUCUAAAAAGCCUUCAUAAUAAGAAUAGCAGAGCUGUUGGAGUUGCUCUAAGCUCGGCAGGAGAACGGCCCUAUCCACGUGUCCCUGUACGGCCCGGCGUCUGGUGAGCGCAAAAAAAAACUGGCUAAAAAUCUCAUCUCUUUCAGUCCGACUUUUCCCCAUCGUUUCUCUCGACUCCUCUGCUUCUCGCUCCCGUCGCCCCUUCCUCUCUCGGUCUCUCCCUCUCGCUCCUAGCGCCCCCUCCCUCUCCCUCUCCCUUUUCCUCUCGCAGCUUCCCUCUCCCGGUGCUCGCCGAUGAUUUUGCGCUCGGGUCAGCCAACCUCGGCGUGGGACGCGCGUUGGCCCAGAUGGCCGCGUUAACCCUGGCAGCGGCGGCCCCUAGUGCGGUGGUUUUGAUGGUGGCGGCUCCUGGUGCCAUGGCCAGUACGUUGGCCCUAGUGGUGCUGGUGGCGGCGGCGGCGGCGACGGCACAAACCUACGGUACCCAUCACGUCUGCUCCCUAUUCCCAUGACCGCUAUGGAAACCCUAGCCGUCCUUUCCAUCAAGGUCAGCUCUCAUGCAACCACCAAUCUCGGCUUUGGUUUCAUCUUUUUCAUGUUAUUGAAUGGCUCCUGUGUUUGGGCGAUUAUGUUUUUUUAUACUACCUUAGAUCUACAUCCCUCACCCAUUAACUAUAUACUACCUUAGAUCUGCAUCCCUCACUCAUUACUAUAUUUAUUCUUAUAUUUGUGGAUGUACCAUCUGAUUAUUUUUGUGUUUUAUUUUUUCGGUCUACUAUUUUUUUUCUUAUGGUAUAGGGUUCAGCCAUCAUCAAGAUAUUUCCACAAAAUAAUCCGCACAGAGGAUGCACUAAAGAGCUGACAUGCACUAUAUAUAUUCUUAUAUUUGUGGAUGUACCAUCUUAUUAUUUUUGUGUUUUAUUUUUUCGGUCUACUAAUUUUUUUCAUAUGGUAUAGGGUUCAGCCAUCAUCAAGAUAUUUCCACAAAAUAGUCCGCACAGAGGAUGCACUAAAGAGCUGACAUGCUCCCUUCACCUAUCUUGGUAUUUUGCUUCUUCGAUCACUCUUUGCAUCAUUCGACCUUUUAUUCCAAUUUAGUGGUUGACAAUUUUGUAGACCUUGUUAACGAGAUUUUACGCAUUUUAGAUUUCAUUAACAAUUUAAUGGGUGAAUCAAAACAAGCUGCUUAAUGAUAAGACAAACAAUCCAUAACAUAUAAUAUCUGUCCCGAGAUACAUUGCAUCUCAAAUUUUCACUCUCACUAGGUCUGCUUAAUGAUAUUUCUUCUAUUUAGCUAUGUCCAUUUUCCAAGUUGGAGGUAAAAUGCAUAUUUAAUUUUGGCUCAUUGUGCCUACGAUUCUAGAAGUCAUGGUUCUGUCUACUUAGGAAGGUCCAAUUUUCUCUUAUCCCGCUAAGAUAUAUAUUUUUUCCCUGAUUCGGUAAGCUAAUGUGGAUGUUUGCUUGCACAAAAUGACUUUUAGAUAUAGUGCUACUUAGUUUGCAAAUCCAUCCCAUUAGAUGAUUGAUUCGGUCAUUAUUAUGUAUGCCUUCUAUAAACAAAUUUCUAUGGUGCAAUAUGGUUACGCUAUUUUAUUUACAGAUGGAUUGAUGCCCUAUUUAUAGUAGGGUUUUUAGCUACUUUUAGUAUAUUUGCUAUAGCUGAUUACUUGCUAUGCAUAUCAAUAGUAUACUAUCCUUCAUGGCUAUUGUUUGAGUUUGUGUCUUUUAGGUUACCUAUUUUGAUAGGGUUUAGGGUUUAGGGUUUUAGGGUUUAGGGUUUUAGGGUUUUAGGGUUUAGGGUUUAGGGUUUAGGGUUUAGG